Molecule: ribosomal RNA, 501 nt
Filed under: uncultured bacterium
Lineage: Bacteria
Description: partial 16S ribosomal RNA
Rfam family: Bacterial small subunit ribosomal RNA
Source: RNAcentral
AUUGAACGCUGGCGGCAGGCUUAACUCAUGCAAGUCGAGCGGGGGAAGGUAGCUUGCUACUGGACCUAGCGGCGGACGGGUGAGUAAUGCUUAGGAAUCUGCCUAUUAGUGGGGGACAACAUCUCGAAAGGGAUGCUAAUACCGCAUACGUCCUACGGGAGAAAGCAGGGGAUCUUCGGACCUUGCGCUAAUAGAUGAGCCUAAGUCGGAUUAGCUAGUUGGUGGGGUAAAGGCCUACCAAGGCGACGAUCUGUAGCGGGUCUGAGAGGAUGGUCCGCCACACUGGGACUGAGACACGGCCCAGACUCCUACGGGAGGCAGCAGUGAGGAAUAUUGGACAAUGGGGGGAACCCUGAUCCAGCCAUGCCGCGUGUGUGAAGAAGGUCUUAUGGUUGUAAAGCACUUUAAGCGAGGAGGAGGCUACUCUAGUUAAUACCUAGGGAUAGUGGACGUUACUCGCAGAAUAAGCACCCGCUAACUCUGUGCCAGCAGCCGCGGUAA